UACCCCAAUCCGGUAUGACCGCAUGU
Molecule: non-coding RNA, 26 nt
Filed under: Homo sapiens (human)
Lineage: Eukaryota; Metazoa; Chordata; Mammalia; Primates; Hominidae
Source: RNAcentral